AUUUUUAAGAUGAAUUUUAAACUUGAAGGUAAAAUUUUCCACAGUGAUUAAAUCCCACUUCAAGUAUUGUUGCUGCUUUAAUGCCAGUUUGGAUGAGAAUCAAAUGAAUUGGGAAUAAAUUAUAGAAGGGCUGUUAAAGAAGGCUUGUUUUGCAUUUUUUCUCUAUGCAGGAGGAUUGCCCUGUUUCCCUCUUUCCUGACUGUGUGUUCCAUCUUGAGCAGCCCCUCAUGGUAGAGUCUGCUGUGGCUGACGGAAAGCCUACAGUGAGGGAGGCCAGCCCUUCGCCUCCAACAGAGCUGGGAGAACAGGGCUGUCUCUAGGCCUCUCUCUCUUGAUGGUGAAAGUUAAAGAAGUUGUCUAUCAUAUUGGUUUCUCCACAGCCCAGAGUUUGCGGAUGUGACACUCUGAUGCAAUUAGAAUACACGUACUGUGCAACAUUCUCUGAUGGCAGAGCCCCGAAUCUACUAAUAUGCAACCUACUUCAGUCAGAGUUGGGCCUCUUCUUUUCUAAGCUCCUUUUUCUCCCUUUCAUUUCUAACUCUUCAAGGCCUCUGGGUUUCCAUUUUCAGAAUUCUAAAAUAACAGCCCUAAAUUGUUAGGAUAAAUGAGUCGCUGGAAGAAAAGGAACUACACAAACC
This 638-nucleotide long non-coding RNA is filed under the name Bos taurus (domestic cattle). RNAcentral's name for it is "long non-coding RNA NONBTAT000868". Lineage: Eukaryota; Metazoa; Chordata; Mammalia; Artiodactyla; Bovidae. The record is from RNAcentral.